RNAcentral lists this ribosomal RNA (379 nucleotides) under uncultured microorganism. Its description in RNAcentral is "bacterial SSU rRNA". It matches the Rfam family "Archaeal small subunit ribosomal RNA", at positions 330 to 713 of the family's 1478-position model. The record is from RNAcentral.
GUGCACCAGGCGAGAAACUUUACAAUGUGCGAAAGCACGAUAAGGGAACUCUGAGUGCCUCCUAAGGAGGCUGUUCAGGUGUCUAAAAGCACCUGGAGUAAGGGCUGGGUAAGACCGGUGCCGGCCGCCGCGGUAACACCGGCAGCCCCAGGUGGUAGCCACGUUUUAUUGGGUCUAAAGCGUCCGUAGCCGGUUGAGUAAGUUCCUUGGGAAAUUUGGCUGCUCAACAGUCAAGCUUCCAGGGAAUACUGACUCGACUUGGGACUGGGAGAGGUCAGAGGUACUCCAGGGGUAGGGGUGAAAUCCAUUAAUCCCUGGGGGACCACCGGUAGCGAAGGCGUCUGACCAGACCAGGUCCGACGGUGAGGGACGAAGGCUA